AGAGUUUGAUCCUGGCUCAGAACGAACGCUGGCGGUAUGCUUAACACAUGCAAGUCGAACGAGAAAGCCUCUUCGGAGGUGAGUAGAGUGGCGAACGGGUGAGUAACACGUAGAUAACUUACCUUUAGGUCUGGAAUAACUAACCGAAAGGAGAGCUAAUACCGGAUAAUAUUUUAGAGCGAGUGCUUUAAAUUUGAAAGAUUUAUUGCCUAGAGAUAGGUCUGCGGGGCAUUAGCUUGUUGGUGAGGUAACUGCUCACCAAGGCAACGAUGUCUAGCGGGUUUGAGAGGACGACCCGCCACACUGGAACUGAGACACGGUCCAGACUUCUACGGAAGGCAGCAGUGGGGAAUCUUGCGCAAUGGGCGAAAGCCUGACGCAGCAAUACCGCGUGGAUGAAGAAGGCCCUUGGGUCGUAAAAUCCUUUUAUAGAAGAUGAUAAUGACAGUAUUCUAUGAAUAAGCACCGGCUAACUCCGUGCCAGCAGCCGCGGUAAUACGGAGGGUGCGAGCGUUGUUCGGAUUUACUGGGCGUAAAGAGCUUGUAGGCGGUUAUGUAAGCGAGAGGUGAAAUCCCAUAGCUUAACUAUGGAAUUGCUUUUUGAACUGCAUAACUAGAGGGAAUCAGAGGUAAGCGGAAUUCUUGGUGGAGAGGUGAAAUUCAUAGAUAUCAAGAGGAACACCGGUGGCGAAGGCAGCUUACUGGGGUUUUCCUGACGCUGAGAAGCGAAAGCGUGGGUAGCAAACAGGAUUAGAUACCCUGGUAGUCCACGCAGUAAACGAUGAGCACCAGCUGUUUGUCUUUAGAUAAGUGGCGCAGUUAACACGAUGAGUGCUCCGCCUGGGAAGUACGGUCGCAAGACUAAAACUCAAAGGAAUUGACGGGGACCCGCACAAGCGGUGGAGUAUGUGGUUUAAUUCGAUGCAACGCGAAAAACCUUACCUGGACUUGACAUCCCCUGACCGGCUUAGAAAUAAGUUUUUCCCUUCGGGGACAGGGUGACAGGUGCUGCAUGGCUGUCGUCAGCUCGUGUUGUGAAAUGUUGGGUUAAGUCUCCUAACGAGCGCAACCCCUAUUCUUAGUUGCUAACAGGUAAUGCUGAGAACUUAAAGAAGACUGCCGGUGUUAAGCCGCGGAGGAGGGUAGGGAUGACGUCAAGUCCGCAUGGCCCUUAUGUCCGGGGCUACACACGUACUACAAUGGCAACUACAAAAGGUUACAAUAUCGCGAGAUGGAGUCAAUCCCCAAAGGUUGUCUCAGUUCGGAUCGUAGUCUGCAACUCGACUACGUGAAGCUGGAAUCGCUAGUAAUCGUGGAUCAGCAUGCCACGGUGAAUACGUUCCCGGGUCUUGUACACACCGCCCAUCACACCAUGGAAGUUGAUAUUAACGGAAGACGUUGAGCCAACUGUAAAGAGGCAGAUAGCCAAGUAGAUAUCAAUGACUGGGGUGAAGUCGUAACAAGGUAACCGUA
Molecule: ribosomal RNA, 1473 nt
Filed under: uncultured delta proteobacterium
Lineage: Bacteria; Deltaproteobacteria
Description: bacterial SSU rRNA
Rfam family: Bacterial small subunit ribosomal RNA
Source: RNAcentral